UACGGGGGGGGCAAGCGUUGUUCGGAAUUACUGGGCGUAAAGGGCGCGUAGGCGGCCUGCUAAGUCGGACGUGAAAUCCCCGGGCUUAACCCGGGAACUGCGUCCGAUACUGGUGGGCUUGAAUCCGGGAGAGGGAUGUGGAAUUCCAGGUGUAGCGGUGAAAUGCGUAGAUAUCUGGAGGAACACCGGUGGCGAAGGCGGCAUCCUGGACCGGUAUUGACGCUGAGGCGCGAAAGCUAGGGGAGCAACCGGG
RNAcentral lists this ribosomal RNA (253 nucleotides) under uncultured bacterium. RNAcentral's name for it is "partial 16S ribosomal RNA". It matches the Rfam family "Bacterial small subunit ribosomal RNA", at positions 524 to 776 of the family's 1533-position model. The record is from RNAcentral.